This 3207-nucleotide long non-coding RNA is filed under the name Ixodes scapularis (black-legged tick). RNAcentral describes it as "uncharacterized LOC121835277". The record is from RNAcentral. Lineage: Eukaryota; Metazoa; Arthropoda; Arachnida; Ixodida; Ixodidae.
AGCCAGAGUCGUGAACCAAAGCCGCAUUGACGUUAGGGCUAUCUCGAUCGGUGUGUAUCGGUGUCGAUAUGUACUAAGCGUACGUGAUUUAUAUUGAUGGCGCGAAGGCAAUAGUCAGCGUGGUGAACCGUAUCAAGAAGUUCAAACCGGCGAUCGUUGGCGACUUUGACCCCGACGUGUCGAAAAGCGUCUACUGGGAGGCUGUUGGAGCGUGCGCCGGGGAAUGAGACAUGAGCUGAGCUGGUUGCUGCUUUGAAAAAGAAGCACGUGGCCAUCCCUAUGGUAUUGAACGCAAGGUUCGAGGUUUAUGUGUGCCUUUAGGCUGUUUUUCUUACCUCAUCUUCGACUCUGUUCAGAAGGAGGGGGUUCGUCUUUUGUUUCCCUUUUUCAAAUCAGCAGCAUACACUGACUUCCGUUACCAGCGGGCAGUAAUAGACCCUUUCCGAAAUUCAGUGCCAUCUGGUGGUUCGUAAAGCAGUUUAGGUUUUGCGGAAUCAAUGGCGGAUAUAAACUUGUGUCGGCACUGUCACUUUCGCAAGUCAACGGCGCGCGAGGAAUUGUUCAGUGUGAGUUCUUUCUCGAUCACUUUCAGUUCGAUGGUGACCAAGAACCUGCAUUCAGAACAAAGGUCCAACCCACUCAGAUGCCUCGAGAAAAUUCUAUACACCAAAGUGCUUUAAAGCCGCCCACAGAUUGACUGAAUCUGAGUUAUUAGAAAUAAAUGCUUACGUAGCUCUUGUGUUCCAUUCAUAUCUCGCGUCGUACUGACCCCCUGAAUGUACAGGCCUCGCAACAUCCGCUUAGGAGCAUCUUCAACGUCUUCCUUUAUCACUUUAUCAGUCACUAGAAGGUCGACAUUGGUAUGGCACAGAUGCCGUUCCACAGAUGAUGAUAGUGAUCAAAGUGGCCAGACUGAAUUUCGGAAAGGGUCUAUUGUGGGUAAAAUUGAACGGUUAGGCUAAGAAAUAUCUUGCAUUUUGUUCGCUUUACGAGUAAUUGUGUCCAUUUAUUAUGGCUGGUCAGGACUAUUUGUACAGACACUUUUUAAAUUGCUUGCUAUUCUGGUACACAGAUCCGGUGGGUAGAACGCUCUAUGAAAGUGGACCACAAGCCGCACUUUAACACACAAAGCGCCGCAGCUUGGCCACUCCUGAUCUCGACUGUGCUGUAGCUGCAGUUGUCCCUCUUCAAUUUCAAGAGACACUCUCCUGCUCGUUUCUCGACCGCAUUAAAUCUGAAUUCGACACUCUUCAGUCUUACGAGAUGUGCUCACCUGCUCUAAGUCAAGUCAAAAUCUCGCUGUACACGAAGUUACAUCUCUUCUCAACUAUCGCAAGACGUCCUCAUUUGUUUGGCGUCCUGCUUGCGUUGCAGCCGAAGUUUCCUCUCUUUAAUCUUUUCAUUCGCUUCAAUGGUCCUCUUGUUGCUACUUGCCUCUCCAGCUUUCAACAAACAUGUUUUAUGUUGUUCCGAAGUACCCUAGGCACUUUGCUUUCACUGUGCCUCAGCACGCUUGCGUAAUGUUCCUCUGGUGAGACCUGCUUUCGCAUACCGACAACGAAAGAUGAUACUCAAGUCUGGUUCACAGAUCUCUCCUCAGAUGUGGCUAUGUGCGACUGCGACCAGAUGCGGCGCACAUUGCUAUGUCAACAACGGCGUUGAGUCACUGGCACGUGCGUCAACGCAGCUCUUGCCUGCAACCAGUAGCUCUUUCGCAAAUGCUUACCCAUGUAUGCUCGUAGUGAAGCGGAUACGAUGCCCGGCUUAGACUCCAACAGUUGUGGGUUUGAGGCGCAGUGCCGGCGGCAUGUUUUUCUUUUCUGAAUUAUAAUGUGCCGGCACAUGCUGUUUUCGAAAGCAGUUACAAAUCCUCGGAACAACAGACGCCUAAAGUGCAUAUGCUUUGCUUAUAGAUGCUAUCGUAUUUAAAAGCACUGAAUUGUAAGUACAAAGCAACUGAGAGUUUACGUUCCUCAUAGAAAGUACACUGGUUGCAAAGUAGUAUUAUCAUAUUUUACUUUCUAACUAACUUAGAAGUACCUUCUAACAGAAUAUUUUAUCAUGCUAUUUCGUUUACCUACACAGUGUUUUCUGACAACAGGUAUCGUCCUUUGCACACUAGAGUAUGUAAAGGACGAUAUACCAAUUAUUUCCUGUAAUGACAGUGAAUACCGGAUAUCUUGUCAGGGGCGUCUGGAAGCAUUUCUUCAGGGAGGGGGCAAUCACAGGUAUAGGGCUGAAACCUGCACACAAAACAUAAAGGGGGGGGGAGCAAUUUAAUGUGAACUAUGUGUGUCCCAAUUAUGUGUUGGAGUUUAUAUUAAAUAAAUAUUACAACACCUGGACCUUUUUCUUUUCGAGAUUUUGAUGUCGCCAUCCGCUGCAGUGGGUGGCAAGUACAAAAAAAAAAAAAGACGGAGGACAGGACGUCCGCUGUGUCGCUUGGGGAGCAUGCCCGACUGGUUGAAAAGCUGAGGUCGGCAAAGCAGAGGGUGCUGAACCUGGAGCAGGAGCCCCAGAUAGAGAGGACGCUAUCAAGAAGCAGCUGCUGGCACUACUAGUGGACAAUGUCCCGUCUGGCAGUGUUGGGUCAGCUCCUCCAGCAUGCCCAGCAGUGGUUCCUGCAGCUGGCGCUCCUGCUUCAGUUCACGUAGUGCGAGCUGGUGUGGAUCACACUCGACCUGUACCGGCCGCUGAUGCUGCUGUUCCAGCAGCGGAUCUUGUAGCAGGCCCGCCGGAGGCAUUUCCCUAGUGUGUGCCAGUGCUUGCAGAGGCUGACGACGAGGUUCACCUUUGCCAUGGUGUCUCGGUGAAAAAGGACAAGCUGUUCUACGUUAGGGGAGCCCGGGGAGACUCCAUGUUCGUUAAAGAGGCGACAAAGUUGAUCUUCGGCAGGGAGAACCUGCAUGGGCGGAGUGUGACUGGGGUGCUAUGCCGGCGCUUCUAGGGCGCUGUCGCCGAGAGGGCCCUGACUCCAGUCAAGUUGGCAGCAAUGCCUUCAACGAGUACCUAUGGAGGCAUCCUCGAGAGGCCCCUCCAGGGAAGAGGACAGCUCGGGUGAAUCUACUGCAGUAUGCACAUUUGUUAAUAUCCUACUGCAGGAUAUUAACUAGAAGUUUGACUUCUAAGCUUGCUUAGAGGUUAAGCUUCUUGUUGGUGUUCUGCAGAUGCCAAUUUGCGUUCACUAAAUACACGUAUAAACUGAAA